This 498-nucleotide ribosomal RNA is filed under the name uncultured bacterium. RNAcentral's name for it is "partial 16S ribosomal RNA". It matches the Rfam family "Bacterial small subunit ribosomal RNA", at positions 28 to 507 of the family's 1533-position model. The record is from RNAcentral.
GACGAACGCUGGCGGCGUGCCUAAUACAUGCAAGUCGAGCGGACGAAUCGAAAGCUUGCUUUUGAUUCGUUAGCGGCGGACGGGUGAGUAACACGUGGGCAACCUGCCCUGUAGACGGGGAUAACACCGAGAAAUCGGUGCUAAUACCGGAUAACACGAAAUGUCGCAUGACGUUUCGUUGAAAGACGGCGCAAGCUGUCGCUACAGGAUGGGCCCGCGGCGCAUUAGCUAGUUGGUGAGGUAACGGCUCACCAAGGCGACGAUGCGUAGCCGACCUGAGAGGGUGAUCGGCCACACUGGGACUGAGACACGGCCCAGACUCCUACGGGAGGCAGCAGUAGGGAAUCUUCCGCAAUGGACGAAAGUCUGACGGUGCAACGCCGCGUGAGCGAAGAAGGCCUUCGGGUCGUAAAGCUCUGUUGUUAGGGAAGAACAAGUAACGCAGUAACUGGCGUUACCGUGACGGUACCUAACGAGAAAGCCACGGCUAACUACGUG